CGUCGCCGCGGUAAUACGAAGGGGGCUAGCGUUGUUCGGAAUUACUGGGCGUAAAGCGCACGUAGGCGGACAUUUAAGUCAGGGGUGAAAUCCCGGGGCUCAACCCCGGAACUGCCUUUGAUACUGGGUGUCUAGAGUAUGGAAGAGGUGAGUGGAAUUCCGAGUGUGGAGGUGAAAUUCGUAGAUAUUCGGAGGAACACCAGUGGCGAAGGCGGCUCACUGGUCCAUUACUGACGCUGAGGUGCGAAAGCGUGGGGAGCAAACAGGAUUAGAUACCCGGGUAGUCCCUGUCUCUUAUACA
This 301-nucleotide ribosomal RNA is filed under the name uncultured bacterium. RNAcentral describes it as "partial 16S ribosomal RNA". It matches the Rfam family "Bacterial small subunit ribosomal RNA", at positions 510 to 808 of the family's 1533-position model. The record is from RNAcentral.